RNAcentral lists this ribosomal RNA (497 nucleotides) under uncultured bacterium. RNAcentral describes it as "partial 16S ribosomal RNA". It matches the Rfam family "Bacterial small subunit ribosomal RNA", at positions 28 to 507 of the family's 1533-position model. The record is from RNAcentral.
GAUGAACGCUGGCGGCGUGCCUAAUACAUGCAAGUCGAGCGAACAGACGAGGAGCUUGCUCCUCUGACGUUAGCGGCGGACGGGUGAGUAACACGUGGAUAACCUACCUAUAAGACUGGGAUAACUUCGGGAAACCGGAGCUAAUACCGGAUAAUAUAUUGAACCGCAUGGUUCAAUAGUGAAAGACGGUUUUGCUGUCACUUAUAGAUGGAUCCGCGCCGCAUUAGCUAGUUGGUAAGGUAACGGCUUACCAAGGCGACGAUGCGUAGCCGACCUGAGAGGGUGAUCGGCCACACUGGAACUGGAACACGGUCCAGACUCCUACGAGAGGCAGCAGUAGGGAAUCUUCCGCAAUGGGCGAAAGCCUGACGGAGCAACGCCGCGUGAGUGAUGAAGGUCUUCGGAUCGUAAAACUCUGUUAUUAGGGAAGAACAAAUGUGUAAGUAACUAUGCACGUCUUGACGGUACCUAAUCAGAAAGCCACGGCUAACUACGUG